RNAcentral lists this ribosomal RNA (510 nucleotides) under uncultured bacterium. Its description in RNAcentral is "partial 16S ribosomal RNA". It matches the Rfam family "Bacterial small subunit ribosomal RNA", at positions 28 to 507 of the family's 1533-position model. The record is from RNAcentral.
GACGAACGCUGGCGGCGUGCUUAACACAUGCAAGUCGAACGAAGAGCUACGGAAGCUUGCUUCUAUCAAUCUUAGUGGCGAACGGGUGAGUAACGCGUAAGCAACCUGCCCUUCAGAGGGGGACAACAGUUGGAAACGACUUCUAAUACCGAAUACGAUCUAACCUCGGUAUCGAGGCUAGAUAUAAGGUAGCCUCUACAUGUAAGCUAUCACUGAGGGACGGGAUUGCGUUUGAUUAGCUAGUUGGAGGGGUAACGUGGCACCAAGGCGAGGAUCAGUAUCCGCGCAGAGAGGAGGAGCGGCAAAGCUGGGCUUGAGACACGGCCAAGCACACUAGGAGAGGCAGCAGUGGGGAAUCUUCCGCAAAGGACGAAAGUGUGAAGGUGCAACGCCGCGUGAGUGAUGACGGCAUUCGGGUUGUAAAACUGUGUUAAGCGGGAGGAAAGGACUUCUCGCGAACAGUGGGAAAGAUUGACGGUACCGGAAUAGAAAGCCACGGCUAACUACGUG